Mustela lutreola (European mink) is the source of this 1727-nucleotide long non-coding RNA. RefSeq lists it as uncharacterized. Lineage: Eukaryota; Metazoa; Chordata; Mammalia; Carnivora; Mustelidae. The record is from RefSeq and is a predicted model, not a curated record. The transcript is spliced from 2 exons.
GUCUGCGGUGGGGCGCUCGGGGCGGAAGCUCAGAGCCCAGGCUUCUGGGCACUGUGGAUUAGGGGCGGGUGCAGUCCUCGGGACUACGACAGGCCAACCGGGAGAACAGAGCCCAGGCUCCCCGGUGCAGAGAAGCGUCCGCAGUCCCGUGGGCGAGGGGCGAAGCCCCCCCCCCCCCGCCCCGAAGCCAGGCGGCGCGGGAGCGGAGGACGUCUGCAGCCAGCCAGCCCCGGUGCGCGGGAGACUGCGGGGCGGGCACAGCCGGUCGCAGGGCCCCGCUGCCAGUCCCAGGUUGGGAACCCGGGCUCUGCGUGACUCGGACGGGAACGAAGUCCCUCGCGGGAUUUAACGUGCCCCUCACGCGGUUAGUUCCCGUUAGGUCACUCGCUGUUAGCUGUAUCUAGCCCGGCUGCGGGAGGCCAAGUCGCGCUGGCUCUUUGCGGGAUCCUGGGCGUUGUUUAUCUAACAAAAUACGACAACUUCUUGACCGGAAAGGAGCCUCACAGCGUGGCAGGAGAGCGUCUUCAACUACAGAGAGACAAGCUGCCCAACACAGGCGUUAUGACAGGCCCCAGGACUCAGAUCUCGGCUUGUCAGGACCAGCGGCUGUCAGGGUCGAGCUGACGGUGGAGCUGAAGGGACCUCUUGUCUAGUUCACAGUAGCCCGGCCCUGCGUCUCCCAUCUGACCUUCAUCCUGCCCUUCUGAUUGCUUAGGGCAAAUAUGUGAUCAUGAAGCUCGGAGGCUUUCGGUCAUGAUGCCCUGUCUUUAUCAAAACACUGUCACCGGGCGCCUGGGUGGCUCAGGUCAUGACCCCGGAGCCUGGGGAUGGAGUCCCCCAUUGGGCUCCCAGCUGCACAGGGAGUCUGCUUCUCCCUCUGACCUUCUUUCCUCUCAUGCUGUUUCUCAAAUUAGUAAAUAAAAAUCUUAAAAAACAAAAAACAAAAAAACACUGUCACCGUCAGCCCACCCCUCUGAACUUGCAAGCCCCCAAAGGAGUACAAAAUCCUGGGUGGUGUGAAAUCUAGAACCACUGAGGAUAUCCCCAGAAUUGUGCACAAACGUGAGAACAGUUAAGACACAAUUUCACCAUCACUUCUGCCUAUAUCCAACUGGCCUCGGCUCAUUCACAUGGUCUCAAAAUAAGUGUAAGAAGAGCUGAGACAUGCUGUCCUCCCGGGAGUCCAAACAGGGAAAAUGCGAUUGGUAAGCAUCCAGCCACCGUAGGUCACAAUCCGUCAAUUUGGUCAUCAGAUAUGUAUUCUAUUAUUUCUCCUAUGGAUUCUACACUGUCACUUUUUUUUUGUUCCAACAACUCAAACCCCAUCUAAUUCCUGAGCCCAUCUCACAGUUACAAUCUCUAGUGUGUCAUUCAAAUACUAGUCUUUAACAACAGGAAACUAUCAACACAAAGUAAGUUGCUUCCACUCGUUUCCGGUUUACAGUGGGUCAAGAACACAUUGAACAACACAGUGAAGGUGCCAAAAAACAAUCGUCCACAAAGAUUUCGAUACUCCACAAAACAGUAUUUUUGAAGAAAGAGCAGGAAAUAAGACAAUAUGAGGCCAAAAAUGAAAAAUAUAAUAGAAACCUAAGCCAUACAAAAUGAAUCCUGAAGUUUAAAGUCAAAGGAAAGUGAUCCCUGGUAAAAGGUCUGCACUGACAGAAGGAAUGAAGAUCCAAGAGAGAUGCAUCUGUGGAUUAAUAAAAUUAUUUGCUAUCUAUAAA